AAGGAAUCUGCCUCACUUUUAAAUAGCCCAGCAAGGAAUAGGCCAUCGCUCUGGCUCGUUAGAAUUCCUGGGUUAAGGGUUUGAUCACUGCUAUGAAGCUAGAGUCGUGGAGGGCAGAAAGCCAUUUCAAGGGGCUCGAGGAAGCUCUUUUCCUUAUUCUCCCUCAGGAUAAGAGAUGGUCACAGUUUCUACUGCUAUGGUUUAUCAUGAGAAUUACAGUGAUUCCAAAGUCCAUUCAUAGCUCACAGCCUGGCUCAAAAUGGGUAUGAGGCUUUUGGAUGGACAUGUGUUUUCGGCUCAUUUGGAUAAAUGCCAAGUGGUGUGAUCGCUGAAACGUGGUGAGAAAAUUCACAGGAAACUCGCGAGCCAUCUACCAGAGGAUCUGUGUUCUGCACUUGAAGCCAUCGAGUCCUUGUCACUCUGUAUCCGCACCAGCAUUUGGUGGUGACAGUGUUCUGAAUCCGGGCUGUUCUAACAGGUGUAAAGGGUAACGCAUUGCCAACUCUCUGAUAACCUACAAUUCGUUAUUUAAAUAUUGUUUUUUUCUCAAUUACCUUGCGGGUUUCUGUAGGAAGGAGGUGAGCUAGCACAAAGUGAUUAGCUCUCCGCAGCGCUGCUUGCCUGCGGCACAAGUCGGUCACAGAGAGUGAAGGGGAGAGAAGGCUAAGAGAUGGGUGUGCUGAUGAAUCUGAUCCUGUAGCCAUUUCAUGAAUACAAGCAUCAACAGACAG
Molecule: long non-coding RNA, 731 nt
Organism: Alexandromys fortis (reed vole)
Lineage: Eukaryota; Metazoa; Chordata; Mammalia; Rodentia; Cricetidae
Exons: 3
Source: RefSeq, a predicted model, not a curated record